RNAcentral lists this ribosomal RNA (432 nucleotides) under uncultured eukaryote. RNAcentral describes it as "bacterial SSU rRNA". It matches the Rfam family "Eukaryotic small subunit ribosomal RNA", at positions 174 to 580 of the family's 1831-position model. The record is from RNAcentral.
CGAAGCGCCGAACGCGCGAGGCGACGGGCGUUCUCGCCGGAUGUAGGAACCCGACCCGGGGGACCGCCGGGGCAACCCGGCGCCCCCGAGACGGGGCGAACCACGGUGAAAUGACGGAUCGUCGGCCCCGCGCCGGCGACUCGCCGAAUGAGUUUCUGACCUAUCAACUCGAGACGGCGGGGUAGAGGCCCGCCGCGGUAACGACGGGUAACGGGGAAUCAGGGUUCGAUUCCGGAGAGGGGAGCCCCGAGAAAACGGCUACCACUUCCAAGGAAGGCAGCAGGCGCGCAACUUACCCUAAUCUCGAUUCGAGGAGGUAGUGACAAGAAAUACCGAUGCGGGACCCUACGGGUGCCGCGUUCGGAAUGAGUACGAUUCGAACCACCUAACGAGGAACGAUCGGAGGGCAAGUCUGGUGCCAGCAGCCGCGGU